GUAACACUGCUUGGAUCUAGCCCAUGUGUCUCCACAAUGUUGCGAGCUGCAGGACUUAAGCGAAACUGCAGUUUUCCAGGUUGAUGCUCCACUUUAGGAGGGGCAGAAACUGAAGGACCUGCAGGAGUUGAGGUAACAGCAGCUGCAGGUGGUGCCAGAGAAGAUUGAUCAUUAGCAUCAGCUGGUAUUUCAACCUGUUUCCAGUCCUGUCCUUCUUCUACCAGCAGACCAAUUAG
This 236-nucleotide long non-coding RNA is filed under the name Gallus gallus (chicken). The record is from RNAcentral. Lineage: Eukaryota; Metazoa; Chordata; Aves; Galliformes; Phasianidae.